Molecule: ribosomal RNA, 530 nt
Filed under: uncultured bacterium
Lineage: Bacteria
Description: bacterial SSU rRNA
Rfam family: Bacterial small subunit ribosomal RNA
Source: RNAcentral
CUCCUACGGGAGGCAGCAGUGAGGAAUAUUGGUCAAUGGACGAAGUCUGAACCAGCCAUGCCGCGUGAAGGAUGAAGGCGUUCUGCGUUGUAAACUUCUUUUAUUGGGGAAGAAACCUGGGAUUUCCAUCUCAGCCGACGGUACCCAAGGAAUAAGCACCGGCUAACUCCGUGCCAGCAGCCGCGGUAAUACGGAGGGUGCAAGCGUUAUCCGGAUUUACUGGGUUUAAAGGGUGUGUAGGCGGGCUAUUAAGUCAGCGGUGAAAUCUCCGGGCUCAACCCGGAAACUGCCAUUGAUACUAUUAGUCUUGAAUAUUGUUGAGGUGGGCGGAACGGGUCAUGUAGCGGUGAAAUGCAUAGAUAUGACCCGGAACACCGAUUGCGAAGGCAGCCCACUAAGCAAUGAUUGACGCUGAGGCACGAAAGCGUGGGGAUCAAACAGGAUUAGAUACCCUGGUAGUCCACGCCCUAAACGAUGAUUACUCGACGUUGGCGAUACACUGAUCAGCGUCCAAGCGAAAGCAUUAAGUA